This is a long non-coding RNA of Calidris pugnax (ruff), 940 nucleotides long. RefSeq lists it as uncharacterized. The record is from RefSeq and is a predicted model, not a curated record. NCBI's taxonomy places the organism in Eukaryota, Metazoa, Chordata, Aves, Charadriiformes, Scolopacidae. The transcript is spliced from 3 exons.
AAAAUCAAAAAGUCUGAAUCUGUGAUCUAGUGUGUUUAUGAAAAGAACUAAGAUAUUCACAACUAAACUUAAGAACUUCAUCAAGUCUUUGAAGCUAUCCUUUCUUGCUGCAGUUUCCCUACUACUAUUAUUUCCAAAUGUUUCUGGAGCUUCUGAAGGUGGUACUACUCUUAGUGCCUUAUUUCCUUUCUUUUAAUGCCCUCUAAUCUUAAAUGUUCACAGUCUUCUACUGCUCUCUCCUAGAAAUUCUGCAAAACUUCCUUUAAACUUUGCUGCCUCUACUUUCUUUCUGAGAGGCUACUGGCAAUUUGUCAUCAAGCUAUAAAGUCCAUCUGACACUCUCUAUUCCAGUACUUGCACAUCAUGUUGCAACCCAGUAACUUCAAUGUUUUUUUUCAGGUAGGUGUCUGUGUCCAAUUUAAAUUCUACCUCCCCUAUAGGAGCUGCCCUAAGCUUUCACACCUGUACAAGAGACAUUUUCUCAUUUAACCUUGACGCAUAUCCUUUUGUUUAGGUAGAACAACACAAUCUGGAGAUUUGAUGAUUUGAUCACUCCAAUGAAAUUCAGCCAAGGGGAGUUGGACUUGGAUCAAGAAUAUCAAGAAUCCGGGAAAACUACUUAAAUCUGAUUUCAUGAUUUCAGAUGUACCUUCAUUUCCUGUAGCACUGCCAUUUGUGGUGAUGAUACUUCUGAACACAGAAGUUCUUCCAGUGGCAGUAAAGCUGUUGCAAUUUCAUAUCUUGGGGGGGGGAGAGGGUGUCUUCUAGUGUCAGUAAAGCUGGUAGUACUUCAGGUGAUACCAUCCCUAUCUCGUAUGUCAGUCCCUUCUCCACUAUCAAUCUUUAUGACACGUGCUGGGAGCAUCUUAUUACUGCCACUAAAAUCUCUCAUGUCUAGGCCUACUUCUUCAGGAAAGUGACACAUGAUGCUUUAGCAACU